UACGUAGGGGGCAAGCGUUGUCCGGAUUUAUUGGGCGUAAAGAGCGUGUAGGCGGCCUGACAGGUCUGCUGUGAAAACUCGAGGCUCAACCUCGAGAUGUCGGCGGAAACCGUCUGGCUAGAGUCCGGAAGAGGAGAGUGGAAUUCCUGGUGUAGCGGUGAAAUGCGCAGAUAUCAGGAAGAACACCUAUGGCGAAGGCAGCUCUCUGGGACGGUACUGACGCUGAGGAGCGAAAGUGUGGGGAGCGAACAGG
This 253-nucleotide ribosomal RNA is filed under the name uncultured bacterium. Its description in RNAcentral is "partial 16S ribosomal RNA". It matches the Rfam family "Bacterial small subunit ribosomal RNA", at positions 524 to 776 of the family's 1533-position model. The record is from RNAcentral.